GCCGCCAUAGCUCAGCUCGGUAGAGCGUCUGCCUGUUAAGCAGUUGGUCUUCGGUUCAAAUCCGAAUGGCGGCG
This 74-nucleotide transfer RNA is filed under the name Candidatus Bathyarchaeota archaeon. RNAcentral describes it as "tRNA-Asn". It matches the Rfam family "tRNA". From Rfam's summary of the family: Transfer RNA (tRNA) molecules are approximately 80 nucleotides in length. Their secondary structure includes four short double-helical elements and three loops (D, anti-codon, and T loops). Lineage: Archaea; Thermoproteati; Candidatus Bathyarchaeota. The record is from RNAcentral.